RNAcentral lists this ribosomal RNA (343 nucleotides) under uncultured Planctomycetota bacterium. RNAcentral's name for it is "bacterial SSU rRNA". It matches the Rfam family "Bacterial small subunit ribosomal RNA", at positions 335 to 671 of the family's 1533-position model. The record is from RNAcentral. Lineage: Bacteria; Pseudomonadati; Planctomycetota.
ACUCCUACGGGAGGCAGCAGUCGAGAAUCUUCCGCAAUGGGCGAAAGCCUGACGGAGCGACGCCGCGUGCAGGAUGAAGGCCCUCGGGUUGUAAACUGCUGUCAAAUGUUAGGAAUGGUUAGUCGCUAAUAACGGCUAACUUGACAAAGGCAUGAGAGGAAGUCACGGCUAACUUCGUGCCAGCAGCCGCGGUAAGACGAAGGUGGCAAGCGUUGCUCGGAAUCACUGGGCAUAAAGCGCGCGUAGGUGGCUUGAUAAGUCGGUGGUGAAAUCCCAUGGCUCAACCAUGGAACUGCCGUCGAUACUGUCAGGCUUGAGGGCGGUAGGGGAGAGUGGAACUCCU